Molecule: long non-coding RNA, 1910 nt
Organism: Amphiprion ocellaris (clown anemonefish)
Lineage: Eukaryota; Metazoa; Chordata; Actinopteri; Pomacentridae
Exons: 8
Source: RefSeq, a predicted model, not a curated record
CUUCCUCCCUGACUGUUCCACCUGCCUGCAGUCUGAUUGCAGCAAUGAGAAUCAGCUGCUGUAAUUGGCUCACCACCAGUAACCUGUUUGCAAUUCCACCUCCCAGCAUAUAAGCCAGCUCUGUCAUUCACUCUCUGCUCCACCAUGAGCUCUGAUGGCCUGCAUCAACUCGUGACCACCAGAGCUUCUUCGACAUGACUCUGCCCUCUAACCCCUGCCGGUUCCUGUUUGGGUUUCCUACCUACCCCUUCAGCUGAGUUUCUUCCUGUUAUUUUGCUUUCAGCCCUUCCUCCCUGACUGUUCCACCUGCCUGCAGUCUGAUUGCAGCAAUGAGAAUCAGCUGCCAUAAUUGGCUCACCACCAGUCACCUGUUUGCAAUUCCACCUCCCAGCAUAUAAGCCAGCUCUGUCAUUCACUCUCUGCUCCACCAUGAGCUCUGAUGGCCUGCAUCAACUCGUGACCACCGGAGCUUCUUGGACACGAUGCUGCCCUUGUACCCCUGCCGGUUCCUGUUUGGGUUUCCUACCUACCCCUUCAGUUGAGUUUCUUCCUAUUCCCUUCCUCCCUGACUGUUCCACCUGCCUGCAGUCUGAUUGCAGCAAUGAGAAUCAGCUGCCAUAAUUGGCUCACCACCAGUCACCUGUUUGCAAUUCCACCUCCCAGCAUAUAAGCCAGCUCUGUCAUUCACUCUCUGCUCCACCAUGAGCUCUGAUGGCCUGCAUCAACUCGUGACCACCAGAGCUUCUUGGACACGAUGCUGCCCUUGUACCCCUGCCGGUUCCUGUUUGGGUUUCCUACCUACCCCUUCAGCUGAGUUUCUUCCUGUUCCCUUCCUCCCUGACUGUUCCACCUGCCUGCAGUCUGAUUGCAGCAAUGAGAAUCAGCUGCCAUAAUUGGCUCACACCAGUCACCUGUUUGCAAUUCCACCUCCCAGCAUAUAAGCCAGCUCUGUCAUUCACUCCCUGCUCCACCAUGGAUGCGCACAUCCUGCAUCAACUCGUGACCACCAGAGCUUCUUGGACACGAUGCUGCCCUUGUACCCCUGCUGGUUCCUGUUUGGGUUUCCUACCUACCCCUUCAGCUGAGUUUCUUCCUAUUCUUUCAGCCCUUCCUCCCUGACUGUUCCACCUGCCUGCAGUCUGAUUGCAGCAAUGAGAAUCAGCUGCCAUAAUUGGCUCACCACCAGUCACCUGUUUGCAAUUCCACCUCCCAGCAUAUAAGCCAGCUCUGUCAUUCACUCCCUGCUCCACCAUGGAUGCGCACAUCCUGCAUCAACUCGUGACCACCAGAGCUUCUUGGACACGAUGCUGCCCUUGUACCCCUGCCGGUUCCUGUUUGGGUUUCCUACCUACCCCUUCAGCUGAGUUUCUUCCUAUUCCCUUCCUCCCUGACUGUUCCACCUGCCUGCAGUCUGAUUGCAGCAAUGAGAAUCAGCUGCCAUAAUUGGCUCACACCAGUCACCUGUUUGCAAUUCCACCUCCCAGCAUAUAAGCCAGCUCUGUCAUUCACUCCCUGCUCCACCAUGGAUGCGCACAUCCUGCAUCAACUCGUGACCACCAGAGCUUCUUGGACACGAUGCUGCCCUUGUACCCCUGCCGGUUCCUGUUUGGGUUUCCUGCCUACCCCUUCAGCUGAGUUUCUUCCCAUUACCAUCUGCUACAAAGCAUUACUGGGUAACAGAUACACCUAAUGAAGAUCAGAAAUAUUCAAGCAGAAACCUUCAGCUUCCAUGAAGAUUGAAAUCAUUCUGCCAUGAAGACCUAACAACCUUCAAAGACAAAUUGAAAAUGGGAAGAAGUGCUGCGGAGCGCUGCGUCACCCUGCGGAGCGCUGCGUCACCCUGCGGAGCGCUGCGUCACCCUGCGGAGCCUCAACUCAACUCAACUCAACUCAACUCAACUCAACUCAAC